RNAcentral lists this unclassified non-coding RNA (516 nucleotides) under uncultured Glomeromycotina. RNAcentral's name for it is "SSU rRNA". It matches the Rfam family "Eukaryotic small subunit ribosomal RNA", at positions 574 to 1092 of the family's 1831-position model. Lineage: Eukaryota; Fungi; Glomeromycota. The record is from RNAcentral.
CCGCGGUAAUUCCAGCUCCAAUAGCGUAUAUUAAAGUUGUUGCAGUUAAAAAGCUCGUAGUUGAACUUCGGGAUCAAUUAGUUGGUCAUGCCUUGGUAUGUACUGAUUUUAUUGGUUCUCACCUUCUAAAGAACUAUAAUGUCAUUUAUUUGAUGUUAUAGGGAAUUAGGACUGUUACCUUGAAAAAAUUAGAGUGUUUAAAGCAGGCUCACGCUUGAAUACAUUAGCAUGGAAUAAUGAAAUAGGACAUCGCAUUCUAUUUUGUUGGUUUCUAGGAUCGAUGUAAUGAUUAAUAGGGAUAGUUGGGGGCAUUAGUAUUCAAUUGUCAGAGGUGAAAUUCUUGGAUUUAUUGAAGACUAACUACUGCGAAAGCAUUUGCCAAGGAUGUUUUCAUUAAUCAAGAACGAAAGUUAGGGGAUCGAAGACGAUCAGAUACCGUCGUAGUCUUAACCAUAAACUAUGCCGACUAGGGAUCGGAUGAUGUUGAUUUUUUAAUGACUCAUUCGGCACCUUACG